UACGGGGGGAGCAAGCGUUGUUCGGAUUUACUGGGCGUAAAGGGCGCGUAGGCGGCGCAACAAGUCACUUGUGAAAUCUCCGGGCUUAACUCGGAGCGGCCAAGUGAUACUGUCGUGCUAGAGUGCGGAAGGGGCUACUGGAAUUCUCGGUGUAGCGGUGAAAUGCGUAGAUAUCGAGAGGAACACCUGCGGCGAAGGCGGGUAGCUGGGCCGACACUGACGCUGAUGCGCGAAAGCCAGGGGAGCGAACGGG
Molecule: ribosomal RNA, 253 nt
Filed under: uncultured prokaryote
Description: partial 16S ribosomal RNA
Rfam family: Bacterial small subunit ribosomal RNA
Source: RNAcentral